This 215-nucleotide ribosomal RNA is filed under the name Peniophorella rude. RNAcentral's name for it is "partial large subunit ribosomal RNA". Lineage: Eukaryota; Fungi; Basidiomycota; Agaricomycetes; Hymenochaetales. The record is from RNAcentral.
AAACGCUUGAAGUCAGUCGCGUUGUCCAGGACUCAACCUUGGUUCUCCUUGGUGUAUUUCCUGGUUAACGGGUCAACAUCAAUUUUGAUCGGUGGACAAAGGCAGGGGGAAUGUGGCACCUUCGGGUGUGUUAUAGCCCCUUGUUGUAUACACUGGUUAGGAUUGAGGAUAUCACGCCCUCGGCGGUAGGAUGUUGACAUAAUGGCUUUAAGCGA